This 480-nucleotide ribosomal RNA is filed under the name uncultured bacterium. RNAcentral's name for it is "bacterial SSU rRNA". It matches the Rfam family "Bacterial small subunit ribosomal RNA", at positions 335 to 802 of the family's 1533-position model. The record is from RNAcentral.
ACUCCUACGGGAGGCAGCAGUGGGGAAUAUUGCACAAUGGGCGCAAGCCUGAUGCAGCCAUGCCGCGUGUAUGAAGAAGGCCUUCGGGUUGUAAAGUACUUUCAGCAGUGAGGAAGGUGGAUAUGUUAUAGUACAUAUUCAUUGAUCGAUUUGAGCUUGCAGAAGAAGACACCGCGUAACUCCGUGCCAGCAGCCGCGGUAAUACGGAGGGUGCGAGCGUUAAUCGGAAUUACUGGGCGUAAAGCGCAUGCAGGUGGUUUGUUAAGUCAGAUGUGAAAGCCCGGGGCUCAACCUCGGAAUUGCAUUUGAAACUGGCAAACUAGAGUACUGUAGAGGGGGGUAGAAUUUCAGGUGUAGCGGUGAAAUGCGUAGAGAUCUGAAGGAAUACCGGUGGCGAAGGCGGCCCCCUGGACAGAUACUGACACUCAGAUGCGAAAGCGUGGGGAGCAAACAGGAUUAGAUACCCUGGUAGCUACGAGU